This is a long non-coding RNA of Apis mellifera (honey bee), 947 nucleotides long. RefSeq lists it as uncharacterized. The transcript has 2 exons. The record is from RefSeq and is a predicted model, not a curated record. Lineage: Eukaryota; Metazoa; Arthropoda; Insecta; Hymenoptera; Apidae.
AAAUGUAUUGAUGAGAAACCUUGGUAUUCCAGCUUGAAACCAGGGAGCCUUUCGUAGUUCAGCUUCUUCACUGCGGUUGUUAAGGCUAUCCGUUCUUUCAGGAAGAGGCGGUGGGGUCGGCGUGGAACCAUGUGUACUUCCAUCAGCGGGCACCGAACUGCUCGAGGUACUGAUCUGAGAUCUUCUCUUCGAUUUGAAUUCUGUUUCCGUGCCAGAGCUGGGAGAAUUAUGUCCUAUCCUUGAUGGAGGCGUUGAUGGUAUUGUCCAGACUCUCAGAUGGGGGUAUCUUGUUGUACGCCGGCCUCGUGCCCUCGGACUCGAUGAUCGCCUCGUUUAUAUAACCCCCAGAAUGCGGCCUGUUUGACGGGCUCGUCGGUGUGCUGCUACCACUGACGAGGGGGCAGCUGUCAUCCUCACCGUUCAACCCAAGAACGUCACGUCCACCUGUCAAACCCAUCGCCAGCCGCUUUAUCAGAGGCGGCUUGUCCGUUAGUCUCUUGUACGAAUUUAGCUCCGUAGGUGAGUUGCUCUCAUCGCUGCUCGGCGUGCUCUGCUGAGAGAUACUCUUUGGCUCAUCCUCGUUCGUUAUUGGGCCGAGAACGUUGGUGAAGUUGUGCGUCGGCCGUAGACCCGGGAUCGAGUUCGGUGUCUGAUUCGGUGCAAAGAAAUGGUUGAUCAGUCUCCAUGAUACGUACGACUUAACCACGACGUUCCAAGACAUUUCUAACGCGAGAGAAAUGCGAGUGUAAACGCGGAUUCGAUUUUUUUUAAUCUUUUCCCUUAUCUAGAACGAUAUUAUGGAAACUUGUGUUUUUUGUUUAUCAUCGAGUAAAAUUAAGAUAAUGUUCGUUAUAAACAAUAAUGAAAUUUUCUCUCCGAGGAAAAUUAUUUCGAAGAUGUAAGAAAUAAAUAAGGCGUUCAAUAAGAUCUUGAUGAAUUUUAAUGUA